AGACUCUGUGCGCGUGCAUAUCAAUAAGCGGAGGAAAAGAAACUAACAAGGAUUCCCCUAGUAACGGCGAGUGAAGCGGGAAGAGCUCAAAUUUGAAAUCUUAAAGGGUUUCCCUUUACGAAUUGUAGUUUAAAGAAGUGUUUUCUGUUGGAGUUUCGGUAAAAGUUCUUUGGAAUAGGACAUCAUAGAGGGUGAGAAUCCCGUAUUUGAUCCGUUACUUUCCAGCUGUGUGAUACACUUUCAAAGAGUCGGAUUGUUUGGGAAUGCAGUCCAAAAUGGGUGGUAAAUUUCAUCUAAAGCUAAAUAUUGGCGAGAGACCGAUAGCGAACAAGUACCGUGAGGGAAAGAUGAAAAGAACUUUGAAAAGAGAGUUAAACAGUACGUGAAAUUGUCAAAAGGGAAGCGUUUGACACCAGUGUUGUUUAGUUGAAAAUCAAUUCAAUAAUUUUUUGAUUCUAAGUAGUAUUGACUUCAUCAGCUUGCUGCUUUCUUCUCAGGAAAUUAUUGAAUGCACUUUUCAGUUAACAAGUCAACAAUCAAUUUCUUUUGUUGUAAAAGAGUAAGAGGAAGGUGGCUUACGCUUCGGCGUCAAGUGUUUAUAGCCUUUUAUCUCUGCAAUCGGAGAGAUUGAGGUCUGCAGCGUAGAUCCUUCGGGGUUAGAUACAUUGGUGCUAAGCUAUAGCCUUGUAUAGACAACUUGUUGACUAUGCUCAGUCAUGUAGCUUACUCGCUGAUGCUAUUUUACCUACGCUUAGGAUGUUGACAGCAGUAUAGACUGU
RNAcentral lists this ribosomal RNA (779 nucleotides) under uncultured Neocallimastigales. RNAcentral describes it as "partial large subunit ribosomal RNA". It matches the Rfam family "Eukaryotic large subunit ribosomal RNA", at positions 23 to 638 of the family's 3401-position model. Lineage: Eukaryota; Fungi; Neocallimastigomycota; Neocallimastigomycetes; Neocallimastigales. The record is from RNAcentral.